RNAcentral lists this ribosomal RNA (777 nucleotides) under uncultured Neocallimastigales. RNAcentral describes it as "partial large subunit ribosomal RNA". It matches the Rfam family "Eukaryotic large subunit ribosomal RNA", at positions 22 to 635 of the family's 3401-position model. The record is from RNAcentral. Lineage: Eukaryota; Fungi; Neocallimastigomycota; Neocallimastigomycetes; Neocallimastigales.
GUACACGCCGUGACUAGCAUAUCAAUAAGCGGAGGAAAAGAAACUAACAAGGAUUCCCCUAGUAACGGCGAGUGAAGCGGGAAGAGCUCAAAUUUGAAAUCUUAAAGGGUUUCCCUUUACGAAUUGUAGUUUAAAGAAGUGUUUUCUGUUGAGGUUUUGGUAAAAGUUCUUUGGAAUAGGACAUCAUAGAGGGGUGAGAAUCCCGUAUUUGACCUUUACUUUCAACUUUGUGAUACACUUUCAAAGAGUCGGAUUGUUUGGGAAUGCAGUCCAAAAUGGGUGGUAAAUUUCAUCUAAAGCUAAAUAUUGGCGAGAGACCGAUAGCGAACAAGUACCGUGAGGGAAAGAUGAAAAGAACUUUGAAAAGAGAGUUAAACAGUACGUGAAAUUGUCAAAAGGGAAGCGUUUGACACCAGUGUUGUUUUUCUGAAAAUCAAUUGAAAGAACUGUUUAUGCUAAGCUGUUUAGACUUUAUCAGCUAUACUGUUUAGUUUUGAGCUUUUCUUUAAUGCACUUUUCAGUUAACAAGUCAACAUCAAUUUCUUUUGCUGUAAAAAAGCUUGAGGAAGGUGGCUUGAGAUUCGUCUUAAGUGUUUAUAGCCUCUUGCCUAUGCAGUCGGAGAGAUUGAGGUCUGCAGCGUAGAUCCUUCGGGGCUAAAUGCAUUUGUGCUAAGUUAUAGCAUUUUAUAGACAACUUGUUGACUAUGAUUUGUCUUGUAGCUUACUCGCUUAUGUUAUUUUACCUACGCUUAGGAUGUUGAAGAUGUAGCACAUCAU